This is a non-coding RNA of Myodes glareolus (Bank vole), 518 nucleotides long. The record is from RefSeq and is a predicted model, not a curated record. NCBI's taxonomy places the organism in Eukaryota, Metazoa, Chordata, Mammalia, Rodentia, Cricetidae.
GUACUCGGCACUUGGCAGUAUUUCCCAGAUGCCCUCAGGAGAGCCAAGAACACUGUGCUCAUCGGGGAACUGAACGGGAUGAUUUCAAACAAAGGUUUCCGUAUUCAAAUCGCUGAGCUCACAGACGAGGAUCCCCAUGUACAUUUGGUACAAUGCUGAGGACAGAACCCAAGCCUAAAGCCUGCUAAGCAAGCAUUCUGUGAACUGAACCACAAGCUCGCUACCCACCAAGCCACGAGUACUCUUCUGAGUCACAAGCUAUCUACCAACCAAGGCACAAGUGCUCUACUUGGGAGCUACGGGCAUUCUACCAACUGAGCCACGUCAGCAGCCCCCAUUGCUUAAACGCAAAAGACCCACAGAUUCAAUCUCCCCUACCUCCUGUCAUACAUCUGUCACUAUCUUCCUUGAGUGGAUGUUCUUGGUCUUUUGUGACAAGAGUCCUUCCCACAUCUCCUGCCUUAUCCCCAGCCCUGACGACAACAGGCUAACCUUGGCACUACUGACAGCCUGUUGUU